Molecule: long non-coding RNA, 596 nt
Filed under: Phaseolus vulgaris (common bean)
Lineage: Eukaryota; Viridiplantae; Streptophyta; Magnoliopsida; Fabales; Fabaceae
Description: long non-coding RNA (PVUL_LNC000384)
Source: RNAcentral
ACAACUCACCUAAUAAAUGGUGAAAACGAAGAUGUAAUGUGCUUUCUUAUCUCAACAAUGUGCACAACAACUAAGAGUGAAACUUCCUCUCCACCAUUACACCAACACCAGCUCUUAUGGAGUUUUUUCCAAAAGGAAGAAGACAAGACAAAGUUGAGUUUAGAAAGUUGUGUUGGAUGCACCUGAAAAAUGAUAUGUUGCUGGGAGAAAUUGCCAAGAAAAUAUGCGGUAGUUAAAACUAUUAGCCCACCAGAUAUUGCACUGUAUUCGGUGUAUUGUUUUGAAGUACCGAUGAACUAAAUUCUUAACUCGACGAAGAAAAUGUGAACAACAUAGAUUCAUUAAUAGUAUGUUUGGGCGAAGUUCUUCCUAAAUUCCUUUUAGGAGAGAAAAAUUAAAGAAAAAAAAAUUAAAAUUAGUUUUUUCAUAAACUAAGAUUAAUUUAUGUAUAAAUUGAAAGUAAAAAUUUAGAAAAACUAAAUAAGAGCUCUUCUACAAAUUAACUUAUGAGUCAAUUUUCGUUUACACAAAAAUUAAUUUCAAAAUUUUAUCCUAUUUUUUUCCUAGAAAAAAACUAGUGGAAGAGUUAUCCAAAU